GUGCUCGCUUUGGCAGCACAUAUACUAAAAUUGGAACGAUACAGGGAGAUUAGCAUGGCUCCUACAAAGGGAUAACAGGCAAAUUCGUCAAGUGUUCCAUAUUUUU
Cebus imitator (Panamanian white-faced capuchin) is the source of this 106-nucleotide small nuclear RNA. NCBI's taxonomy places the organism in Eukaryota, Metazoa, Chordata, Mammalia, Primates, Cebidae. The record is from RefSeq and is a predicted model, not a curated record.